RNAcentral lists this ribosomal RNA (184 nucleotides) under uncultured Bacillus sp. Its description in RNAcentral is "partial 16S ribosomal RNA". It matches the Rfam family "Bacterial small subunit ribosomal RNA", at positions 347 to 522 of the family's 1533-position model. Lineage: Bacteria; Bacillati; Bacillota; Bacilli; Caryophanales; Bacillaceae. The record is from RNAcentral.
GGCAGCAGUGGGGAAUCUUCCGCAAUGGACGAAAGUCUGACGGAGCAACGCCGCGUGAGUGAUGAAGGCUUUCGGGUCGUAAAACUCUGUUGUUAGGGAAGAACAAGUGCUAGUUGAAUAAGCUGGCACCUUGACGGUACCUAACCAGAAAGCCACGGCUAACUACGUGCCAGCAGCCGCGGUA